UGCGUAGGCGGCCUUUUAAGUCAGAGGUGAAAUGUGACGGCUCAACCGUCAAACUGCCUCUGAAACUGAAAGGCUUGAGUUCGAGAGAGGAAGGUGGAAUUCCAGGUGUAGCGGUGAAAUGCGUAAAUAUCUGGAGGAACACCAGUGGCGAAGGCGGUCUUCUGGCUCGAAACUGACGCUCAGGCACGAAAGCAUGGGGAGCGAACAGGAUUAGAUACCCUGGUAGUCC
This 229-nucleotide ribosomal RNA is filed under the name uncultured bacterium. RNAcentral describes it as "partial 16S ribosomal RNA". It matches the Rfam family "Bacterial small subunit ribosomal RNA", at positions 568 to 796 of the family's 1533-position model. The record is from RNAcentral.